Small nucleolar RNA from Plasmodium malariae, 142 nucleotides. NCBI's taxonomy places the organism in Eukaryota, Apicomplexa, Aconoidasida, Haemosporida, Plasmodiidae. The record is from RefSeq and is a predicted model, not a curated record.
CUUCUUUACCGGAGACUGCAGCGUUAAUAUACGACUAUUAAGGCGAUGAAGAAAACAUUGCGUGAAUAUUACCAUCUGAUAAAUAUAUUAUUAAAUUUUUUUUUAAUAAUUUAGGAUGAGAAACGCAAGAUAGCUGAGCUUU